RNAcentral lists this long non-coding RNA (1377 nucleotides) under Macaca mulatta (Rhesus monkey). Its description in RNAcentral is "lncRNA (ENSMMUG00000052532.1)". The record is from RNAcentral. Lineage: Eukaryota; Metazoa; Chordata; Mammalia; Primates; Cercopithecidae.
CAAAUCUAAAAGUUGAAAAAGAAAUAAAAAAUGUCUUGAAUAGACCAAGAAUUCUGCCCCUAACUUUGCUAGGCAAAUAAGUACUGUAUAAUUUUUCAGGAAAAAGUAAAACACUUAGUAUUCUGUAAAUUUAAAUUUUGUCUUGUUUUAUGUCAACUUCUUUGGAGAGAAAUUCUACUUCAGCAUGAAAAUAAAUCAAUUUUAGGUAAAUAGUUACUCAUGAGGUAAUAACAAUAUUGAGUAAUUUAUGUUUUAGUAUUUCUGGGCUAUAUAAAAAAUUUCUCAUGUUUUGUUGACAAAACUUCUCCAAAUUCUUUUCACUACGAAUUUUACUAAUUAUUUCUGUUCUGAUAAUGUACCUUUUUCCAUUUAUACCACAGUCACUUCCUUCUAAAUAGGUUGCACCACUUAUAGUGUGUCCUUGAUGAAAAGGUUGACGACGCGCUUUGAAUGAAAACAGGACAACAUAGAGGCUUUGAUAUUGGGAUUGAAACAACAGGCGUUUAUAAACAGAGAUCUUUGAGUUGAAAGAAAGUUAAUUGUCGGCUGGUCGUGGUGGCUCACGUCUGUAAUCCCAGCACUUUGGGAGGCCGAGGAGGGUGGAUAACUUGAAGUCAGGAGUUCGAGACUAGCUUGGCCAACAUGGUGAAACCCUGUCUCCACUUGUAAUACAAAACUUAGCCGGGCAUGGUGGGACGCGACGGUAAUCCCAACUACUUGGGAGGCUGAGGCAAGAGAAUCGCUUGAACCCGGGAGGCAGAAGUUGCAGUGAGCUGAGAUUGCACCAUUGUACUCCAGUCUGGCGACAGUGUGAGAUCACAUCUCAAAAAUAAUAAUAAAAAUAAAAAAGAAAGUUAAAUGUAAUGUGGGUGGAAUGAUAUAAGAAAUUUAAGGACUUAAGGGCUCUGUAAAUCAGUGAUUCUUCUGAUUGGCAUUUGUUAGUUAACUAGCAAAAAAAAAAAAUCUAUGAUUUGUAAAAACUCAGUUGAUUAAUUGACAUGUAAUUUGAAUGAGCUGAAAUAACACAAGGUUAAUUAACCUGAAUUAACAGAAGAUGAAAUUGUUUGGGUCAUUCUCUUGUCUGACUAAUGGGUAGCUUUUAUUUCUUAGUCAUUUAGAAAAUAAACUAUCCAGGAUUUUUCUCUUGCUUUUUCUUUUUGUUUAAAAAAUAGUUUACCAUGGAAACUGAUGAAUGAUUUCACUUCAUAUUAUAUUGACUUCAAUAUGCUAUUUCCAUAGAUCAAAGUGAAGUUACUUAUAAUAGAAAACAAAAUAAGUUUCCAUUAUUAUUUAGCAAAAGCUAGAUAUAAUAUUAAUCACAAAAUCUUCAUCACAAAGAAAUUCCAUGCUAAGUAUCUAUCUUAUCUCAUAAAGUGA